Molecule: ribosomal RNA, 995 nt
Filed under: Triticum aestivum (bread wheat)
Lineage: Eukaryota; Viridiplantae; Streptophyta; Magnoliopsida; Poales; Poaceae
Description: partial small subunit ribosomal RNA
Source: RNAcentral
UGCACUUAAAGAGAUAGUCUGCAUAUUAAUCUUAAGCUUCUUGGCUACAUGGUCGAGUCACCCUCAACACUCAUAUUUCUAGCCUAUGCAAAGAGAGAACAGACAUACAAAGAUAUAUAUGAUGGUAUACUAGUAGGUGGGGGCUUAAUUUAUUGCACCAUUCCACGUACACUGGUGUAUAGUACCACCAUGCUACUUAGCUCAUAACAAGUUACCCGUCACAGCUACAAAAUGUCGCUCACGGCCGACAUCCGCGGUCUGCCCGCCAGUACAUGCAUGCAGCUAGCAGCAUAUGCUAGCGGUCAGUCACAUUGAAGAUUAGUGAUGGAGCAUCAUCAGUUCACCAACACAUGCAGCUCGCCAUCAACCCCGAGAUCGACAACGAGUCCGACUGGCCAAUCAUCGAAUUCAGACAUAUCAUAUAACGUAUGCACCGUUGCACACAAGAUCGGAAGUCCCCUGAGUUUGUAGCCUGCAGAUGAUUCAUGAGAGAUCUGGCUUUUGUGCUAUGUAUUAUGCAUAAUGCCAAUUUGAUCCGCGCUACUCAGCAUUGUCUACGUAGAGUACACCAUUUAAUAAUAACAGACAAACGCAAUCAUGGUUAGACUUAGGAACAUAUGAACUUACUUGCAUAUAAGGGGUUGCCUUGUGAACGGCAUGCUGGAUGUAGCUAUGGAUAGAUACAUCACCUGUUUGGAUCAUAAUUCAGAUACAUCACCUGUUUGGAUAAUAAUUCGGAGAGCAGCUGAGGCGAAUGGCAGGGCAAUUCUCCUUUGGCACGCACGGCUAACUACCUGCAUGCACCGCACACUCACCAGGGACCAGGCUACCGCCAUCAUCGAUACAUGCAUGCCACCGUGCCAAGGGAGAAGCGCCCUGUGAUUCACACACGUCGGUCUAAUUUGUCAUUUCUUCCUAUAAGUCAAGGCUCUUUUGGCUCCAUUCAACUAUAUAUUUUGGUAAUGCAUGCCUGCUCCAUGCUUUCAAGUUCUUGU